GUCUGCAAUGCUCUUGCGACCGACGUUAGCUAAAUAUGUGUCCACAUUCUACCUGCUACCAAAGCAACGCCAUGAGCAAUGCCACGAACAACAAUGCUGCUACGCCUGUAAUAGCUCAGUACUCCUCUGUGUAUGUACAUUAUCCAGCUACUAGAAUGGCCAACAGUGUUGCACUGAAUAUUUAUAUUCAAGAAUUGUGGAAGAAGGUAGUGAAAGUUCGAGAGCGCUGCCUUUAGGGGACCAGAGAUGCAAAACGUUGUUUUCAUCUUUUCCCGUUGCUCUCCCAGGGCAUACUGCUUCUGGCUUCAAGGCAACAUCAGCAGCAUUCAAUUGCAGGCCUAGCAAGAACACCCACUAGCUAUACUCAAGGCAGUAUUAUUGAGCCCUUUCUCUAAGUCUAUGUACUACCUCAGUUUAAACUUCUAGUUCUGAUUAUUGAUCAGACAAAAAAUUUCCACUCGAGCAGUCCUGCCAGAAAGCCAGGAGAUUUCCUGCACAGAAGCACAGUCCUUCCGUAUGGGUAGCCCAUAUACUGAGGCUCCCUGUUCAGUUUUGUAUCCUGACAACUAUGCCCCUGGGGUGCCUUGAGAUAUGCCUGAAGUACUUCUCUACCAUCCACCUACUCUUUAUUGGCUCUUCACCCUGACACUAGACAACAGCCUCACACUGAUCCUCUUCACCUUGCCACAGAGCAUUCCCCAGCUGCAAGGUGCCAUGAACAUGUCUUGGGAUAAUGGUCCAUCUUUACACAUUUGCAGAAAAUGCUUCAGAGAAUCACGAACCCUAAAUUUAUGAUUUUCCCCCAUCUACCUGAACUCCAACUUAAGCCAAGUUUAACGACAAAAAGCUGCCAAAGAAUUAUUAAGCAAGCAAUAAAUUUAGACUUUUAGUUGAAGAAUGGAAACCCUGAACUCCCACUUAUAUCCUAAGCCUGGUUGCUCAGCCAGUAAUCUUUAGAUCUGUAACCUCUAUCUUUUUUAUACUUUGCUGUUAGUUUUGGAACACAAAAGCAAAUACCCUAAGUGCACCAGCACAGUACGGAUAAUUUUAUCAGUGGGAACUAUGGUCAUACUUAUAUAGUGAAGACCAUCUCUUAACAAGGGAUGCCUUUUAAACUGGAGACUACAUCCACAACCAGCAAUGCCAGAAACUGAUGAACUGAAAUCAAGUAACAAGUAACUAUACAAAAUUUGCUUUUAUGGAAUACAAUAUGAAACACAGGCUAAAGUAUCCUCUUUGAAUAACCUGAGACCUGUUACUUUAAUUUAUUAGACAUUUGGAAUUGCACACAGGGAAAA
This is a long non-coding RNA of Aquila chrysaetos chrysaetos, 1298 nucleotides long. RefSeq lists it as uncharacterized. The transcript is spliced from 3 exons. The record is from RefSeq and is a predicted model, not a curated record. NCBI's taxonomy places the organism in Eukaryota, Metazoa, Chordata, Aves, Accipitriformes, Accipitridae.